Molecule: non-coding RNA, 175 nt
Filed under: Natronorubrum sulfidifaciens JCM 14089
Lineage: Archaea; Methanobacteriati; Methanobacteriota; Halobacteria; Halobacteriales; Natrialbaceae
Description: Sense overlapping transcript RNA 0042 (sot)
Rfam family: Sense overlapping transcript RNA 0042 (sot)
About the family: It is associated with IS1341-type transposase (tnpB) genes, at the 3'-end in H. salinarum NRC-1. The tetraloop structural motif may be functional.
Source: Rfam by way of RNAcentral
AAGUAUCUCCGAGUCCCGCCACGGAUGGUGGAGAUAGGAGUAACGGCUGGUUGGCACAGCCAUCGACGUACCUAUUUGAGAAGAAAACUGGUGCGUUCGCACCUCAAGAACAGAUCACGUCGUAAACCACAAUAUCCCAACGGCGGUCGGGAAUCCCACGACUUCAGUCGUGUGG